GACCUGGCUGGGUGGUCCGCUUAACGGCGUGUACUGUCUGGCUGGGCCUUACCUCUUGGUGAGCCGGCGUAUUCUAUUUUAGAGUGCGCUGGGGAACCAGGACUUUUACCUUGAGAAAAUUAGAGUGUUCAAAGCAGGCCUAUGCCUGAAUACAUUAGCAUGGAAUAAUAGAAUAGGACU
Molecule: ribosomal RNA, 180 nt
Filed under: uncultured Glomeromycotina
Lineage: Eukaryota; Fungi; Glomeromycota
Description: partial small subunit ribosomal RNA
Rfam family: Eukaryotic small subunit ribosomal RNA (bases 90-180)
Source: RNAcentral